AGCAGCCUGCCUGAAAAUCUCUUUUCUUUGCCUCUAAGAAGCUCUCAGAACAUAAUCUCACUCCAUCCAGUGCUCUGCGGCUCCCCCAAACCCUGGGGUGGUAGGGACUUGGUUCCCAUGCUGUUUAGAUUCAAGUGGACACUGGAUGCCAGGUGACCCUGGCUUUAGGAGUUGGCAAAGGAUGGUGCCCUACGCGGAGCAGCAGUCCAAGGACUGGUUGUUAAUAUUGGAUUGACCCUAACUUCUAAUAUGAGGUUUCAAGGAAUUCAACUAUGAAAACCAUUUGGCCUCAAGAAUUUUUCCGGAGGCUCUGUGUAAGGUACUGCGAUAGAUCAGUGAAGCAGGUGCCUGCCCUCGGAGAGCUGACAUUCUAGUUCCCUGCUCCAUCAUCAAGCGAAGAUGAUUUCAAGUGAUUCUCCAAAACACCUAUUAAAAGCCUCCUGGAGGUCUCAUCAGCACCUGUAUAAAACCCACAUUCCUUACACAACAGCUGGAGCCCUUCACAACCUGGCCCUCCCAUCCAACAGCUUCUCUAGCCCACGGGGACCCCUGUCCUGCCCACAGCCUUACUGGGCAGUUUGGAAUUUCCCAACUGUGUGCUCCCCGCAGCCUGCUUGUGUUUUCAUACCCCUCUCUCUCCAGCGUGACAGGCACU
Long non-coding RNA from Manis pentadactyla (Chinese pangolin), 655 nucleotides. RefSeq lists it as uncharacterized. The transcript has 5 exons. Lineage: Eukaryota; Metazoa; Chordata; Mammalia; Pholidota; Manidae. The record is from RefSeq and is a predicted model, not a curated record.